This 315-nucleotide ribosomal RNA is filed under the name uncultured eukaryote. RNAcentral describes it as "partial 18S ribosomal RNA". It matches the Rfam family "Eukaryotic small subunit ribosomal RNA", at positions 1470 to 1796 of the family's 1831-position model. The record is from RNAcentral.
CCCUUAGAUGUCCUGGGCCGCACGCGUGCUACACUGACACUUACACCGAGUUUUUCCAAUGCCGAAAGGCCAUUGGUAAUCAGCAAUAAGUGUCGUGAUGGGGAUAGAUCUUUGGAAUUAUUGAUCUUGAACGAGGAAUGCCUAGUAAUCGCAAGUCAUAAGCUUGCGUUGAUUACGUCCCUGCCCUUUGUACACACCGCCCGUCGCUCCUACCGAUUUCGAGUGGUUCGGUGAACCUUUCGGACCGGCAAUGCCUCGUGUUGCGCCGGAAAGUCAAGUAAACCAUAUCACUUAGAGGAAGGAGAAGUCGUAACA